AAAGGAGUGACAGACAUAGGGGAGGUAAUCAGUGAAGUGAUGGAGUCCAUGAGUGCCUAAUGAUGAAUGCCAGGUGUGCGUAAUGAAAAAGCCGGUGGUUACUAAACCGGCGACGUCGAAAGCCGGAGGUGAGGAGCGGGAGUAGACAUGACAAAAGGAAGGUAUUUAUUUAGACCAUACUCAGGCAUCUUUAUGUUGCAGUGAUGAACCGUUUUUUUUCUCUUCUCAUGCCACUAACACCACCUCACACACACAGCAACCUACUUACAGCGGGACCCCUUCUCAGCAAAGCCAGAAUGUGAAGCCUCAUGCAAACACGUCAGACCAACAGCAAAACUGUGAUUAUGAUGCCCUGAACUAUACUGCCCUGAAGUUCAGUGAGAAGAAGAGUGCCAAGCCCAGGAGACAGAGGAGAGAACAGAGAGAGGAAGAAACCAUCUACUCUGGUAUGAGUCAUCAAGACAUGAUGUGACAUAUGAGGGUCAUUCAGUCAGCAUCAUUCUAAGUUAAGCCCCACCCCUCCUCUGAAUUCCACUUUGAUCCUGACUGAGCCAGCGUGAACUGACUAUUAUAUACAUUUCUCAUUUAUUGUAGGAUGCUAUUGCAGGGGCCUAGUUUUGCCAUAUAUCAACGUAAAAUCAUUCAGAUGCUGAGCAUAAUUGUCCAGUAAGUGUGAAAGCUGAUACUAGGAUGAUUUCAGAAGUCUCAAAUCCUUAGCAAUAGUGGCUGAGGUUGACUGACUCCAUACAUUUGUUUUUGUGGAAGAGUACAACAAAAUGUAUAUAAUGAUUUUGCAAAUGUCUGAAUUCUUCCUUUUGAUGAUAAUAGUUGUAACAUAGUACUCUGUAACCUGCCCUUAUGCUUGUGUG
This 869-nucleotide long non-coding RNA is filed under the name Salmo salar (Atlantic salmon). RNAcentral describes it as "lncRNA (ENSSSAG00000054602.2)". Lineage: Eukaryota; Metazoa; Chordata; Actinopteri; Salmoniformes; Salmonidae. The record is from RNAcentral.